RNAcentral lists this ribosomal RNA (316 nucleotides) under Merope tuber. RNAcentral describes it as "eukaryotic LSU rRNA". It matches the Rfam family "Eukaryotic large subunit ribosomal RNA", at positions 60 to 357 of the family's 3401-position model. Lineage: Eukaryota; Metazoa; Arthropoda; Insecta; Mecoptera; Meropeidae. The record is from RNAcentral.
AGAAACUAACAAGGAUUCCCUUAGUAGCGGCGAGCGAACAGGGAAAAGCCCAGCNCUGAAUCCCGCGAUCAGAAAUGAACGCUGGGAAAUGUAGUGUUUAGGAAGAUCCAUUUAUCCUGAAUUUAUGUAAUAAGUUUAAGUCCACCUUGAAUGGGGCCACUGCCCGUAGAGGGUGCCAGGCCCGUAGGACUAUUACUAUUUUUGGGAGGAUCUUUCCUUAGAGUCGGGUUGCUUGAGAGUGCAGCUCUAAGUGGGUGGUAAACUCCAUCUAAGGCUAAAUAUAACCACGAGACCGAUAGCGAACAAGUACCGUGAG